GACUUUAUUUUUCCACAUUACUAAAACUAUUUGUAUUUAUUACACAGUAUCAACGUUAGCUGAAUUCUAAGAUCCAAAGUUUUUUUUUCUUUUCCAGAAAAAUAAUUGAAUCCCAUUCCCACUAUUUUUUGGUGUGCUGCAAAGGACAUUUAUCAUCUUAUAAAGCUAAGCCAAGGGUGGAAAUGUGAUAUAUAUAUUCAAAGCAUGUUUAUUAUGCUUUUCCAUCCUGCCAACCCCAACAAGCAUACCUAGAGGGGAUUAUACAGAUCAGUAUUUUAAAAAGCCCUUAUUCUCAGUCAUGCAGUGCAAAAACAAUGGCUAAAAAGCAGAAAUUGAUUAAAAUAGAAAGACAAGGGCACCAGUACCUAAUUGCAAAAUUCUUCUACCUUUUCUUUAUCAUAGGGAGGUGCAAGCAACUGCUUCAUCCGUGACACAUGGACAGCACGAGAUGAUUGAAUUCCUUGUUGCUUCGAUUUUUAUCUUGGAAAGCUAUAGAUGCAUGCAAUAAUUGAUCUUUUGGAAGCUGGCAGAAGUCAGAGAAUGUUACCCUCCAGAUCAGAGGGGCGACUCCUCUUCUUCAUCCGUGUUGACCACUGGCAGCUGCUCUCGCUCCCUGCCUGGAGCCUCCAGGCUAAUUUGUUGCAGCUGUCAUUCUCUCGGCUCAGACUCAGCUGGCUGCCCUCUGGUUGUUCCAGCUGUAGUUGCUCCAUCAAGCUGGAGUGAGCUGGAGUCUGCUGCUCUGUGAUCUGCAUUUCCAACAGCCCCAGAGCUCACUGCCCUGUCUUCUCUGGAGGUGCCAGGGACUGGCUCAUUCUCCUCUUCCAAACUAGCAUCUGGAGAGGCGACCAGAGAUUCUUGCUGGCAAAACUCUGUAUAACGUCCAAUAUCAGCAUUCUCUUGGUUCCAGUGGCUAAAUUGCAGUUCCGUCUUGACCUCACCUCACAACAAAGCAAUUGACUCAGCUCUGACAACAAAUAAUAAAAUACCUUACUUUCUUCGAUUUGGACAACUUGCAGAUUCCAUUGAGAGCAAACAGUGAAGAAUGCUAGCUAGGUAGAGGACGGGGAGAAGAGAUUAAAAAUGUGCUGCUAGAUGAUAAAGAUUCCAUCAUGUACAACAGAUGCCACCAAGCAGAGGUGGAAGUAAUUUUCUGCUGCACAAUACAAAACCAGGCCUGGGAGAAAAUACAAAGUAUUCUAGUCAUUCUCAUUAUGAUGCUUCACCUAUGCUUGCACAGGAACAAAUGAUGAGGAACUAGCAGUGGAUAGCAGAAAUAGAAAUAAGAAAGAUCAACCCACACAUGGAAGCCAAGUAGAUAAACAACCAGAUAUUCAUGCUUCCAAACUCCAUUUUCACAUGCGCUACUCCCUGCUCAACCUCUGUAUACAUUCCAUGUGAACAGUAUCAUUUCUGAACAUAGAUCAAAUGAUUAGUCACAAAUAAUUAAUGGGACUAAAUGAUUAAUGGUACUAAACACACAGCCAUGGAGAGAAUUGCUCAUAGUUUUCACAACAAAACUAUCCCUGUCAACUUGCAUGAAACAAGCACAACAAAACUGCACCCCAAGUUCAUCUCUGCUUUACUUUUCUAAAAAGAAUUGUAUCCUAGAAUACUUGGCCAGCCCUACAAUGCAUUCAUGCCCACAUGGGCUAUAAUACAUCUCCCUCAACACUACCAUUCCUGUUCAAUUCCUGAUGGCUUCAGUUCAGGAUUCCUUCAUGAUGUCCAAGCGUCUUUCUUUCUUUUCAGGUAUACCUGCUGCUCCAGAGGCUACCAUUUGUUCUUUGAUAUUCAGCUUUCCAUUAUUGGAAAGAGGGCUGUGAAAAUAUUUACAGACUCUUUGCAUCCUGGACAUAAAUUAUUUCAACUCCUAGCCUCAAAACGAUGCUAUAGAGCACUGUACACCAAGACAACUAGACUCAAGAAUAGUUUUUUCCCGAACACCAUCACUCUACUAAACAAAUAAUUCCCUCAAAAAACUAUUCACAUUAGGCUGCUAUUGGUCUUCUCAUUGUUCCUGUUGCCCAUCUCCUCCCACUUGUGACUGCAUGACUGUAACUUUGUUGCUUGUAUCCUUGUGAUUUAUAUUGAUAUUGAUUGUUUCCUAGUAUGAUUUGAUUGCUUAUUGUACCAUAUGACUGUCACUGGGUGUUGUGCCCUGUGAUUCUUGAUGUGUGUAUCUUCUUUUUAUGUAUACUGAGAGCAUAUUCACCAAAGACAAAUUCCUCGUGUGUCCAAUCACACUUGGCCAAUAAAGAAUUCUGUUCUAUUCUUCUAUUCUUAUUGAAGAAAA
Long non-coding RNA from Ahaetulla prasina, 2293 nucleotides. RefSeq lists it as uncharacterized. The transcript has 4 exons. NCBI's taxonomy places the organism in Eukaryota, Metazoa, Chordata, Lepidosauria, Squamata, Colubridae. The record is from RefSeq and is a predicted model, not a curated record.